UAACAUCAUUUGUUGUAUUAAAUGACAGCCUGGACUUCUAAGUUAUCAUAUAUUUCUUUUCCUAUGUCGUAGUACAUGUAUGAAACCUGUUAACUUUGUGUUUUUAAAAAAAACUAAUAUCAUUUUUAUGAAGUAUUUCCUUUUUGUCAAAUUGCUUCUUCUUGGUAAUUGAAGGUAAAGGGCAUAAAAUUCAAAGAUGAGUUCCAAAGUAUGCAGACAAGAAUUCUUACCAGUUUGAUGUUCUCAUGGAGAAGUACUAGUAGUUGGAGCUAAUUUCUGAUGUAGCAGGUAGAUGAUUAGGUGCACCAAAACUAGAGGUCAAUGCUGUGUUGCAGUGAUGGGUAUAAUCAUGAAGAUUUAUUUUAUCCUGUUGGAGAAAGCAUGACUUUCAAUAAAGUUGAAGUCCUGACUUAGGAGUGAUUGAAGGGGAGAUGAAACUAAUAGUGGAAGGUUGUUUAGUUAAUGCCUUGUGAUGGAUGAGAAUAUUGGAGUAUUGCCAACAAAAGCAGCUAUUUUUUUGGAAGAAUGCCUACAGAAGUUUGAAAUAUGUAUAGAUGAAACAAUGGCAUGUUCAAUAAACUUGUGUGAGGUUUUUUCGUUUUUUUUCCCCCAAAAAAACAAAACAAUAGGGAUGGUGGUAACCUUGGAGUUGACCUCACUGGAUGUAACA
This 670-nucleotide long non-coding RNA is filed under the name Elaeis guineensis (African oil palm). Its description in RNAcentral is "long non-coding RNA (EGUI_LNC022479)". The record is from RNAcentral. Lineage: Eukaryota; Viridiplantae; Streptophyta; Magnoliopsida; Arecales; Arecaceae.